Molecule: long non-coding RNA, 352 nt
Organism: Poecile atricapillus (Black-capped chickadee)
Lineage: Eukaryota; Metazoa; Chordata; Aves; Passeriformes; Paridae
Exons: 3
Source: RefSeq, a predicted model, not a curated record
AGCUGUGUGCUUCUAGGCCCAUGCUGUGAGGAAAAUCAACUGUUACGCCAUUUUUAGGGGGAAUUUCCCCUGACUGACUUCAUGAUUUGGUCUGAUGGGUGCUUGUCACAUUAAAACGUGAUGUAUACUACAGCCAAGAAUGACAGAGGAACUGCCCAUUGCAAUGCCCUGCAAGUUGACCGGCUCUCUUAGCAUGCCAAAACUCAGCUUGAGGUACAAAGGACUUCCUAUUUCAACAGCACAUCCUGCAUCAGUUUCUGAAAUCCUGUCAAGCCUUAUCAUUGAAGUAAGCUAAGAAUCUCCAGAAGCAUCAGCAGCCACAAUAAAGCCAAAAUUCUGCUCAUUCAGCUUC